RNAcentral lists this long non-coding RNA (361 nucleotides) under Olea europaea (common olive). RNAcentral's name for it is "long non-coding RNA (OEUR_LNC013150)". Lineage: Eukaryota; Viridiplantae; Streptophyta; Magnoliopsida; Lamiales; Oleaceae. The record is from RNAcentral.
GGAAGUAUCGUGUGAAAUGGCCGAAGCCCCGAAGCAGAUGCAGGAGCCUCCGAACCACAAGGGAGUGUCCUCCAUGUUCACUUCUCCCAAGAAAUCGUCUGCAUAAAGAUCUUAUUCGAAUGAUUGAUGGAACGUUUGUCAUAAGUAUAAAGGUCAAGUCUUGUCACUAGUAUGGAGACCCUGCACAAAGCAAUAAAUGCGCAGCAAGCUAGCAAGUCAAGCCCCAUACCUAGGAUGGGAUGUUUGAAUUGAAGAGAUGAGGCCACGUGCCACCUCAUCCAAGGGCUCCCAUUUCACAUGUAUCACUAUAAAUACUUCUCUUGUGUAACAUCAAAAGGCUAAUGCAAAAAUCAAUACAAAG